This 1006-nucleotide ribosomal RNA is filed under the name uncultured bacterium. RNAcentral describes it as "bacterial SSU rRNA". It matches the Rfam family "Bacterial small subunit ribosomal RNA", at positions 28 to 896 of the family's 1533-position model. The record is from RNAcentral.
GACGAACGCUGGCGGCGUGCUUAACACAUGCAAGUCGAGCGGGGAUACAGGCUAGCACUGAUUGCUUAGCGAAAAGCAAGCGUGGCGGAUCACUAUGUGAUCUGCGAGGCCCCAAUAAGUGAUUAACACAAUUGAGGGAAGUGCGUGGGAGGCAGUUACUACGUAACUGCAGAGAGCUGCGCACAUCGCGAAGCGAUGAGUGCUGGGCUGUAUUCUAGCAGCGGACGGGUGAGUAACGCGUGAACAAUCUGUCCCAGACAGGGGGAUAACACUUGGAAACAGGUGCUAAUACCGCGUAAGACCACGGAGUCGCAUGGCUCUGAGGUAAAAGGAGCAAUCCGGUUUGGGGUGAGUUCGCGUCUGAUUAGCUAGUUGGUGGGGUAAAGGCCUACCAAGGCAACGAUCAGUAGCCGGACUGAGAGGGCGAACGGCCACACUGGAACUGAGAGACGGUCCAGACUCCUACGGGAGGCAGCAGUGGGGAAUAUUGGGCAAUGGGGGGUACCCUGACCCAGCAACGCCGCGUGAGGGAAGAAGGUUUUCGGAUUGUAAACCUCUGUCCUUGGUGAAGAAAGAAAUGACGGUAGCCAAGGAGGAAGCCCCGGCUAACUACGUGCCAGCAGCCGCGGUAAUACGUAGGGGGCGAGCGUUGUCCGGAAUGACUGGGCGUAAAGGGCGUGUAGGCGGCUAAAUAAGUCUGAAGUGAAAGUCCUGCUUUCAAGGUGGGAAUUGCUUUGGAUACUGUAUAGCUUGAGUGCGGAAGAGGUAAGUGGAAUUCCCAGUGUAGCGGUGAAAUGCGUAGAGAUUGGGAGGAACACCAGUGGCGAAGGCGACUUACUGGGCCGUAACUGACGCUGAGGCGCGAAAGCGUGGGGAGCGAACAGGAUUAGAUACCCUGGUAGUCCACGCGGUAAACGAUGAAUGCUAGGUGUAGCGGGUAUCGACCCCUGCUGUGCCGGAGUAAACACAAUAAGCAUUCCGCCUGGGGAGUACGGCCGCAAGGUUG